GUUCCUUAUGAUAUGAUCUUUCAUAUUUUAAUGCCAAAUUAGAGAUUUUACCCCAUUUUCAUGGUCCACUAAACAUAGAAAGUAAUAGUCCGGAUGGGACAUCCGUGUACUAUGGACACAUUCUUGUUCAAUAUGUAAAAGAAGAAAAAGUAAAAAUCAGCUGAGUCAGAGAUAUUUUUCAGCAGCACAUGUAAUUAGUGAAAAAUAUAGUAGAAAAUCUCCUGUCAAUGAUCAGCAGC
This 239-nucleotide long non-coding RNA is filed under the name Mytilus galloprovincialis (Mediterranean mussel). Lineage: Eukaryota; Metazoa; Mollusca; Bivalvia; Mytilida; Mytilidae. The record is from RNAcentral.